AGCAGCCGCGGUAAUUCCAGCUCCAAUAGCGUAUAUUAAAGUUGCUGCAGUUAAAAAGCUCGUAGUUGAAUUUCGGGACUAAUAUGUCGGUCGUGCCUCGGUACGUACUGGUUUAUUGGUUUCUCCUUUCUGAAGAACCAUGAUGUCAUUUAUUUGGUGUCGUGGGGAAUCAGGACUGUUACUUUGAAAAAUUAGAGUGUUUAAAGCAGGCUCACGCUUGAAUACAUUAGCAUGGAAUAAUGAAAUAGGACGUUUGAUUCUAUUUUGUUGGUUUCUAGGAUCGACGUAAUGAUUAAUAGGGAUAGUUGGGGGCAUUAGUAUUCAAUUGUCAGAGGUGAAAUUCUUGGAUUUAUUGAAGACUAACUACUGCGAAAGCAUUUGCCAAGGAUGUUUUCAUUAAUCAAGAACGAAAGUUAGGGGAUCGAAGACGAUCAGAUACCGUCGUAGUCUUAACCAUAAACUAU
This 464-nucleotide ribosomal RNA is filed under the name uncultured Glomus. Its description in RNAcentral is "SSU rRNA". It matches the Rfam family "Eukaryotic small subunit ribosomal RNA", at positions 569 to 1040 of the family's 1831-position model. The record is from RNAcentral. Lineage: Eukaryota; Fungi; Glomeromycota; Glomeromycetes; Glomerales; Glomeraceae.